RNAcentral lists this ribosomal RNA (479 nucleotides) under uncultured bacterium. RNAcentral describes it as "partial 16S ribosomal RNA". It matches the Rfam family "Bacterial small subunit ribosomal RNA", at positions 28 to 507 of the family's 1533-position model. The record is from RNAcentral.
GAUGAACGCUGGCGGCGUGCUUAACACAUGCAAGUCGAGCGAGAAGUUUUGAAAAGAUUCUUCGGAUGAAAUUUAAAAUGGAAAGCGGCGGACGGGUGAGUAACGCGUAGGCAACCUGCCCCAUACAAAGGGAUAGCAUUUGGAAACGAAUAUUAAUACCUUAUGAAACUUAACUAGUGCAUGCUAGGUAGGUCAAAGAUUUAUCGGUAUGGGAUGGGCCUGCGUCUGAUUAGCUAGUUGGUGAGGUAACGGCUCACCAAGGCGACGAUCAGUAGCCGACCUGAGAGGGUGAACGGCCACAUUGGAACUGAGACACGGUCCAAACUCCUACGGGAGGCAGCAGUGGGGAAUAUUGCACAAUGGGGGAAACCCUGAUGCAGCAACGCCGCGUGAACGAUGAAGGCCUUUGGGUCGUAAAGUUCUGUUCUAGGUGAUGAAAACUGACAGUAACCUAGGAGAAAGCCCUGGCUAACUCCGUG